UACAGAGGUCCCGAGCGUUGUUCGGAUUCACUGGGCGUAAAGGGUGCGUAGGUGGUGGUGUAAGUUUGAUGUGAAAUCUCCGGGCUUAACCUGGAAAUGGCAUUGAAUACUGCAUUGCUGGAGGUUUGGAGGGGGGACUGGAAUUCUCGGUGUAGCAGUGAAAUGCGUAGAUAUCGAGAGGAACACCAGUGGCGAAGGCGAGUCCCUGGACAAAACCUGACACUGAGGCACGAAAGCCGGGGGAGCAAACAGG
RNAcentral lists this ribosomal RNA (253 nucleotides) under uncultured bacterium. RNAcentral's name for it is "partial 16S ribosomal RNA". It matches the Rfam family "Bacterial small subunit ribosomal RNA", at positions 524 to 776 of the family's 1533-position model. The record is from RNAcentral.